Molecule: ribosomal RNA, 253 nt
Filed under: uncultured bacterium
Lineage: Bacteria
Description: partial 16S ribosomal RNA
Rfam family: Bacterial small subunit ribosomal RNA
Source: RNAcentral
UACGGGGGGUGCAAGCGUUGCUCGGAAUCACUGGGCGUAAAGCGUCCGCAGGCGGACCGGCCAGUCGAGUGUGAAAGCCCAAGGCUCAACCUUGGAACUGCGCUCGAAACUUCCGGUCUUGAGUUCGAGAGAGGGAAGCGGAAUUCCUGGUGUAGAGGUGAAAUUCGUAGAUAUCAGGAGGAACACCGGUGGCGAAAGCGGCUUCCUGGCUCGAAACUGACGCUCAUGGACGAGAGCGUGGGUAGCAAACAGG